AUGGAGAGUGAUGAUAUCCUACCUCAUCUAAGUGAUUAUAAGAUGAUAGUGACCAAUUUGCAAAAGCAAUAUCAUGUGUCCCCAU
This 85-nucleotide small RNA is filed under the name Salix viminalis (osier). Lineage: Eukaryota; Viridiplantae; Streptophyta; Magnoliopsida; Malpighiales; Salicaceae. The record is from RNAcentral.